Molecule: ribosomal RNA, 203 nt
Filed under: uncultured bacterium
Lineage: Bacteria
Description: partial 16S ribosomal RNA
Rfam family: Bacterial small subunit ribosomal RNA
Source: RNAcentral
UACGGAGGGUGCAAGCGUUAUCCGGAUUCACUGGGUUUAAAAGGGUGCGUAGGCGGGUAGGUAAGUCCGUGGUGAAAUCUCUGAGCUUAACUCAGAAACUGCCGUGGAUACUAUUUGCCUUGAAUAUUGUGGAGGUGAGCGGAAUAUGUCAUGUAGCGGUGAAAAUGCUUAGAUAUGACAUAGAACACCAAUUGCGAAGGCAG